CCCCCCACUUCAUCUUCUUCCUUUAGAACCAAAACUAGCGCUAUCCCCACCCCACCCCAUUCAUCUUCUUUCUUCUGCCCUUCUUCUGCGUCUCCUUCCCCUUUUCCCUGAUCCACUCUCCAUCCAACUAAUUAAACACAUAUCUUUCUGUUAGACCCCUUCCCCUUUCCACCUUCUUCUCCAACAUGCCCUAUACUCAAAAUUUAUCCAUCCAUACUUGAUGACACAAAGUUAGAAAGAUGCCCGGCGCCAAAGAUCUCCACUUGCAAAGGGUUGAAAAGAAUUACAAUUACUUAUUCGUUGGCAAUGUUAUUUUAAUUUAAAAAUUUUGUCUGCAUUUAUCAAGUUUACAGAUGUAGCCAAGCAAAUCAUAAAUCCGAUUGAGACGUUCCAAGUAGAGAAUCUUGAUCUUGUUAGAGAUCAACAAAAAAGAAUCAUGAUCCACUGGGAUUUUGGGUCUUCUUUCUCCGUCAUUUUCUUGGUCACAAAUUUGGACUUAUUUUACUUUUAUUUUUCUAAUUUAUUAUUUUUGGUGUAAAAUUUUCCAUCGAUUUAAAUAAUUGGUUGUUGUUUGUGUGUUUUUGUUGGAAUGAAGGUAUGUUAUAUGAAAGAGGGUGUUUAUCUAGUGGAGAUUUGGUGGUUUUUUGCAGCUAUUAUUGCUGCAAUUUUGCUGCUUUUUUCGGCUAUCUCGGGAUUAGUUUUGGCUCAACAGAUAUAGGCGAAGCUCUAGAGGUUAUGGGCAGUAAGUUUUGAUGAAAGGCGAUAUUUUUCAGUGAUUUAAGGUGGCUUAGUUGGAGCUUUAGUGAGUGAUUUUCAUGGAGGCUAUGGUGGUUUCAUGGUGGGUUGCAGUUGAAAGAAGAAGAGAGGCUAAGAUGCGGAAAUGGGCGAGAGGAGCUGGAACUGCAGAUGCAGAUGUUUGAGCGCACCUGCGAUAAUGCAGGUGCGGGAUUUUGAUUGCAGGUGCGGUCCUUGGGUGGUUAAGUGAAUUCCGCAGAUGCGCACCUGGGAUCGCAGGUGCAAGAUUUCGAUCGCAGAAGCAGUUUAGCUGGGGCAGAGCAUAUAAAUUUAGCCCUUCGCAAUUUUUGAGUGGUUUUUCACUGUUUUCAUGCGGGUUUGAGCUUGGGAGAGCAAUUUGAAGAAAGAAUUCAAGGGGGUUUCGUGGAGAUUCGACGCGAGUUGAGGCCGAGUUGAGAGGCAAGGGCGUCACAGAGUAGUAUUUCAUCCGGUUCGAG
Long non-coding RNA from Nicotiana tabacum (common tobacco), 1232 nucleotides. RefSeq lists it as uncharacterized. The record is from RefSeq and is a predicted model, not a curated record. NCBI's taxonomy places the organism in Eukaryota, Viridiplantae, Streptophyta, Magnoliopsida, Solanales, Solanaceae.